AAAAACAAUGACAAAGCCUAAAAAACAUUCUGCCAAAAAGCUUGCCGCCACAAUGGAAAAAUUCCUAGCCAUUUUGGCCAAUGUGGUCACAAGUAGAGUUGCACCGUGCACUUGCUUCAAUCUAAAACCUCAGCCGUCAAAUCUUAUUACUAGCCAUGCCUUGUCGCUGACUGAAGAUCCUGCCAUUCAAGACACUGAACGUGGUUCAGUUUCACUACAACCGGCCACAUCAGAUCCUGCAACCUUUGAGAAUACGAGAUCACCUAAUGGCAGAUCCAUGCUGUGACCCGUGCACCCUUACUGAUCCACCAACC
Molecule: long non-coding RNA, 314 nt
Filed under: Lupinus angustifolius (narrow-leaved blue lupine)
Lineage: Eukaryota; Viridiplantae; Streptophyta; Magnoliopsida; Fabales; Fabaceae
Description: long non-coding RNA (LANG_LNC000098)
Source: RNAcentral